CAGCCGCCGCGGUAAAACGAAGGGUGCAAGCGUUAAUCGGAAUUACUGGGCGUAAAGCGUGCGUAGGCGGUUUGUUAAGUCUGCUGUGAAAUCCCCGGGCUCAACCUGGGAAUGGCAGUGGAUACUGGCAAGCUAGAGUGUGUCAGAGGAUGGUGGAAUUCCCGGUGUAGCGGUGAAAUGCGUAGAGAUCGGGAGGAACAUCAGUGGCGAAGGUGGCCAUCUGGGACAACACUGACGCUGAGGCACGAAAGCGUGGGGAGCAAACAGGAUUAGAUACCCCUGUAGUCCCUGUCUCUUAUAA
RNAcentral lists this ribosomal RNA (301 nucleotides) under uncultured bacterium. RNAcentral describes it as "partial 16S ribosomal RNA". It matches the Rfam family "Bacterial small subunit ribosomal RNA", at positions 509 to 809 of the family's 1533-position model. The record is from RNAcentral.